RNAcentral lists this ribosomal RNA (825 nucleotides) under Engystomops petersi (Peters' dwarf frog). RNAcentral describes it as "partial large subunit ribosomal RNA". It matches the Rfam family "Bacterial large subunit ribosomal RNA", at positions 1430 to 2563 of the family's 2925-position model. Lineage: Eukaryota; Metazoa; Chordata; Amphibia; Anura; Leptodactylidae. The record is from RNAcentral.
AUUACUUUUUAAUACCAUUAUUUAUAAUGAACCCUUCAUUCCCACUGAAUAUUUCUAUAAAAUUAUAGAACCUUUUAUGUUGAAACUAGUAACAAGAAGUUAAACUUCUCCUAAAUAUAAGUAUAAGUCGACUAGGAUAAACCAUCGACAAUUAACGCUAAAAUUAAAUAUAUUAACCCCGCAAGAAAAACUUACAUUAUUCCACGUUAAUCUUACACCAGAAUAUUUAAGGAAAGAUUUAAAAAAAAGGAAGGAACUCGGCAAACAUUAACCCCGCCUGUUUACCAAAAACAUCGCCUUCUGAUAUACUAUAGAAGGUCCAGCCUGCCCAGUGAAUUAAUUUAACGGCCGCGGUAUCCUAACCGUGCGAAGGUAGCGUAAUCACUUGUUCUUUAAAUGAGGACUAGUAUGAAUGGCACCACGAAGGUUAUACUGUCUCCCUUUUUUGAUCAGUUAAACUAAUCUUCACGUGAAGAAGCGUGAAUAAACAUAUAAGACGAGAAGACCCUAUGGAGCUUAAAAUUACACAACAAUUGCUAAAAAUCUUAAAUUUUAUGAAUAACUUUUUACUAAACACCAUGAUUGCUAAUUUUUGGUUGGGGUGACCGCGGAGUAAAAAUUAACCUCCACAAUGAAAGAAAUUAAUAUUCUAAACUAAGAGCUACAACUCAAGGUAUUAAUAUUUUAACAUUCUUUGAUCCAAUUAUUUGAUCAACGAACAAAGUUACCCUAGGGAUAACAGCGCAAUCUACUUUAAGAGCUCCUAUCGACAAGUAGGUUUACGACCUCGAUGUUGGAUCAGGGUGUCCUAGUGGUGCAGCCGCU